This 274-nucleotide ribosomal RNA is filed under the name uncultured bacterium. RNAcentral describes it as "partial 16S ribosomal RNA". It matches the Rfam family "Bacterial small subunit ribosomal RNA", at positions 523 to 796 of the family's 1533-position model. The record is from RNAcentral.
AUACGGAGGGUGCAAGCGUUAUCCGGAUUCAUUGGGUUUAAAGGGUUCGCAGGCGGCGUAUUAAGUCAGUGGUGAAAUCCCGAGGCUCAACCUCGGAACUGCCAUUGAUACUGGUAUGCUAGAGUAUAGUUGGCGUUGGCGGAAUGUAUCAUGUAGCGGUGAAAUGCUUAGAUAUGAUACAGAACACCGAUCGCGAAGGCAGCUAACGAAACUAUAGCUGACGCUCAGGAACGAAAGCGUGGGGAGCGAACAGGAUUAGAAACCCCAGUAGUCC